GUGAGGAAUAUUGGUCAAUGGGCGGGAGCCUGAACCAGCCAAGUCGCGUGAAGGAAGAAGGAUCUAUGGUUCGUAAACUUCUUUUGCAGGGGAAUAAAGUGCAGGACGUGUCCUGUUUUGUAUGUACCCUGAGAAUAAGGAUCGGCUAACUCCGUGCCAGCAGCCGCGGUAAUACGGAGGAUCCGAGCGUUAUCCGGAUUUAUUGGGUUUAAAGGGUGCGUAGGUGGUUUGAUAAGUCAGCGGUGAAAGUUUGCAGCUUAACUGUAAAAAUGCCGUUGAAACUGUCGGACUUGAGUGUAAAUGAGGUAGGCGGAAUGCGUGGUGUAGCGGUGAAAUGCAUAGAUAUAACACAGAACUCCGAUUGCGAAGGCAGCUUACUGGGAUGCAACUGACACUGAUGCACGAAAGCGUGGGUAUCAAACAGGAUUAGAAACCCGGGUAGUCC
RNAcentral lists this ribosomal RNA (445 nucleotides) under uncultured bacterium. Its description in RNAcentral is "partial 16S ribosomal RNA". It matches the Rfam family "Bacterial small subunit ribosomal RNA", at positions 354 to 796 of the family's 1533-position model. The record is from RNAcentral.